GCGGAAGUGGUGAAACUGGUAGACACGCUAUCUUGAGGGGGUAGUGGGUUCGCCCGUGGGGGUUCAAAUCCCCCCUUCCGCA
This 82-nucleotide transfer RNA is filed under the name bacterium. Its description in RNAcentral is "tRNA-Leu". It matches the Rfam family "tRNA". From Rfam's summary of the family: Transfer RNA (tRNA) molecules are approximately 80 nucleotides in length. RNAcentral also lists the same sequence under 1 other name. The record is from RNAcentral.